This 270-nucleotide ribosomal RNA is filed under the name uncultured bacterium. RNAcentral's name for it is "partial 16S ribosomal RNA". It matches the Rfam family "Bacterial small subunit ribosomal RNA", at positions 29 to 328 of the family's 1533-position model. The record is from RNAcentral.
AACGAACGCUGGCGGCAGGCUUAACACAUGCAAGUCGAACGCCCCGCAAGGGGAGUGGCAGACGGGUGAGUAACACGUGGGAACGUCCCCCUCGGUUCGGAAUAACUCAGGGAAACUUGAGCUAAUACCGGAUACGUCCGAGAGGAGAAAGAUUUAUCGCCGAGGGAUCGGCCCGCGUCUGAUUAGCUAGUUGGUGAGGUAACGGCUCACCAAGGCGACGAUCAGUAGCUGGUCUGAGAGGAUGACCAGCCACACUGGGACUGAGACACG